RNAcentral lists this ribosomal RNA (489 nucleotides) under uncultured bacterium. Its description in RNAcentral is "partial 16S ribosomal RNA". It matches the Rfam family "Bacterial small subunit ribosomal RNA", at positions 30 to 507 of the family's 1533-position model. The record is from RNAcentral.
AUUGAACGCUGGCGGCAGGCCUAACACAUGCAAGUCGAACGGUAACAGGAAGAAGCUUGCUUCUUUGCUGACGAGUGGCGGACGGGUGAGUAAUGUCUGGGAAACUGCCUGAUGGAGGGGGAUAACUACUGGAAACGGUAGCUAAUACCGCAUAACGUCGCAAGACCAAGAGGGGGGCCUUUGGGGCCCCUGGCCUUCGGAUGUGCCAGAUGGGGUUAGCUAGGAGGUGGGGGAACGGCUCACCUAGGCGACGAUCCCUAGCUGGUCUGAGAGGAUGACCAGCCACACUGGAACUGAGACACGGUCCAGACUCCUACGGGAGGCAGCAGUGGGGAAUAUUGCACAAUGGGCGCAAGCCUGAUGCAGCCAUGCCGCGUGUAUGAAGAAGGCCUUCGGGUUGUAAAGUACUUUCAGCGGGGAGGAAGGGAGUAAAGUUAAUACCUUUGCUCAUUGACGUUACCCGCAGAAGAAGCACCGGCUAACUCCGUG